GCCUGGGUGGCUCAGUCGGUUGGGUGGCCGACUUCGGCUCGGAUCACGAUCUCGCGGUCCGUGGGUUCAAGCCCCGCGUCGGGCU
Molecule: non-coding RNA, 85 nt
Organism: Felis catus (domestic cat)
Lineage: Eukaryota; Metazoa; Chordata; Mammalia; Carnivora; Felidae
Source: Rfam